GAAAUGCGAUAAGUAAUGUGAAUUGCAGAAUUCAGUGAAUCAUCGAAUCUUUGAACGCACCUUGCGCUCCUUGGUAUUCCUUGGAGCAUGCCUGUUUGAGUAUCAUGAAAUCUUCAAAGUAAAUCUUUUGUUAACUCAAUUGGUUUCUACUUUGUUAUUGGAGGUCUUUGCAGCUUCACACCUGCUCCUCUUUGUUCAUUAGCUGGAUCUCAGUGUUAUGCUUGGUUCCACUCGGCGUGAUAAGUUAUCUAUCGCUGAGGACACUGUAAAAGGUGGCCAAGGUAAAUGCAGAUGAACCGCUUCUAAUAGUCCAUUGACUUGGACAAUACUUUUAUGAUCUGAUCUCAAAUCAGGUAGGACUACCCGCUGAACUUAAGC
Molecule: unclassified non-coding RNA, 378 nt
Filed under: plant metagenome
Description: partial contains 5.8S ribosomal RNA, internal transcribed spacer 2, and large subunit ribosomal RNA
Rfam family: 5.8S ribosomal RNA (bases 1-105)
Source: RNAcentral